AGAUAUAAUCCACAUUACAUGUAUAUUUCAUAUUUCUUCCUUUUCCUCGAUUGAUAGAUAUGGCAUACACUUGAUAUUAUAGGGCUUUUAGUUUUAAUAAAGGAACGUCAACGCUAAAAAUUUAGUAGCAUAAUAUAAUGAAUAUUUGUUGAUUUUAAUAUUCAAUGACGGUCAUCUUGGAAUAAUGCGGCAUAUCCAAACUUAGGACGGGUCGACACUAAUAUUUAUAUAUAAAUCCAGCAUUUCUAUCAUACCACAUAUUCUCGUUAAAGUUUGACAAUUUUAUAAUAUCAUAAUGUGUGGUUACGUUUUAAUCAUUCGGAAAUGUAGGAAACUAAAUUUAUCUUUUUAAACGGUAUUACUGAUUAUGAAAGGAAUUUGGUCCAUAAGUUUUAUUCAGUCCAAGAAAAAAAUAGCACAUGUGGCUCCAACUUCUUACUAAAAAUAUUAAGGAAAUUACUUUGGUCGAUAUUCACUUUUUUUAAUGCAUUUUCUGCAUAUAAAUUUAACCUUAUACACAUGUGUACAAGAUAUAUAUUUCAAUCCAACAAAAAACAUUGUGUGACUACACAUAACUAUUGAAAAAAGCAGUAAUUGUAAAGUACGUAGAUAACUAUUACCCGUAAUUUCCGACAUCCGCUCAUCUAACAUGUCUUAGGAUAAUUCACUGUCUUACUGGUGAUAUUAAUAUUGAUGGAUUGUUCGUCAAUACAUGUACAGACAUGCAUCUAUAUAAAACGACUGUUAAACUAUCAAUAACACCGUUAAUCUAUGCGCUCUAGUGAUAUAUGACGAAUUUAAUCUACCUCUUCGACCACAGUGACUUAUUACGCAGUCAAAGGCUUUAAAGAUCGUUAAAGGAUUUUAGAGGCUCACAGAGGGAAACUAAUGACGUGCAUCCGUAGAUAAUACAUUCUCAA
RNAcentral lists this long non-coding RNA (920 nucleotides) under Mytilus galloprovincialis (Mediterranean mussel). The record is from RNAcentral. Lineage: Eukaryota; Metazoa; Mollusca; Bivalvia; Mytilida; Mytilidae.